GGAUAACUACGGAAAAGCUGUAGCUAAUACUUGCUUUAGCACUCUUGAUUAAGUUCUUGAGUGUGUACUUGUUAAGCCUUUUAAGAAAAAAGUUAUUAACUUAAGGAAUUAUAACAAAGAAGCAACACGUAAAUGGAUUUUCCAUUUUUUAGUGUGUAUCAAUCGAGUUUCUGACCUAUCAGCUUUUGAUGUUAGGGUAUUGGCCUAACAUGGCUAUGACGGGUAACGGGGAAUUAGAGUUCGAUUCCGGAGAGGGAGCCUGAGAAAUAGCUACCACAUCUAAGGAAGACAGCAGGCGCGUAAAUUACCCAAUUCUAAAGAAGAGAGGUAGUGACAAGAAAUAACAAUACAAGGCCAAUCUGGCUUUGUAAUUGGAAUGAUGGGAAUUUAAAACCUUCCCAAAACUCAAUUGGAGGGCAAGUCUGGUGCCAGCAGCCGCGGUAAUUCCAGCUCCAAUAGCGUAUAUUAAAAUUGUUGCAGUUAAAACGCUCGUAGUUGAAUUUCAAAGAAUCGAUAUUUUAAGUAACGCUUUGUAGAUUAAUCCACAUAACUGAUACUACGUAUCGACUUUGUGCGCAUUUUUCUACUUAUGUGUUCUUUUAAUUAAAAUGAUUCUUUUUAAGAUCUUUCUUUUUUGCUUCGGCAUUUUAGGAGAUCUUGUUACUUUGAGUAAAUUAGAGUGUUCAAAGCAAACAGAUUAUAGCAUCUUUAUGCGUUUGAAUACUACAGCAUGGAAUAACAAAAUUGAACAAGUCAGAAUUUUGUUCUUUUUUCUUAUUUUGGCUUAGUUACGAUUAAUAGGAGUAGCUUGGGGGCAUUUGUAUUCAGAUGUCAGAGGUGAAAUUCUUAGAUUUUCUGGAGACAAACAACUGCGAAAGCAUUUGCCUAAAAUACUUCCAUUAAUCAAGAACGAAAGUUAAGGGAGUGAAGACGAUCAGAUACCGUCGUAAUCUUAACCAUAAACUAUGCCGACUAGGCUUUGGAUGAAAGAUUUUAAAAUAAGAGUUUUUUCUCUGAGGAGUUAAAACUCUUAGAUUGCA
This 1040-nucleotide ribosomal RNA is filed under the name Plasmodium inui. RNAcentral's name for it is "SSU rRNA". It matches the Rfam family "Eukaryotic small subunit ribosomal RNA". Lineage: Eukaryota; Apicomplexa; Aconoidasida; Haemosporida; Plasmodiidae. The record is from RNAcentral.